This 223-nucleotide long non-coding RNA is filed under the name Elaeis guineensis (African oil palm). RNAcentral's name for it is "long non-coding RNA (EGUI_LNC034347)". Lineage: Eukaryota; Viridiplantae; Streptophyta; Magnoliopsida; Arecales; Arecaceae. The record is from RNAcentral.
CCAGGAUCAACCUUAAAUCUUUCUUCUUGUGAUAGAUCCUUCUUCUCCAAAUAAGAUCUUGAUCUCUUUGAAUCUUGAUCAACUAUUGAUCUUGACUGCAAUCACAAUCCUUGAACUGUAGACUUUUCUCUUUAAUUAUUCUUUGCUGUAGAAGAGACUCUUCUCAACUCAGGCGUGUGGGAUGAUGGACGCCCAACCCUUGAGAGUUGGAAAGAGAAGAGGG